UCUUCUUCAGUUGAUUGAUGGUUGUUGUUGUUGCGUUCUGAAGGUUGCUACUCAGUUUGCUGUGUAAGCACUGGUUCGUUAAGAACUGAGUAGCUGAGCAAUCUUUUCAAUAUCUCAUAUCGUAGAGUUGAGCCUUAGAGAAUUCUUCACGUUGAAUGUUUGAUUGCUUGCUUGUUUUUCUCUUUCAUCUGUCUGAUCUGUAUAUAUGUGAUGUUGAAAACUAUCCGUUGGAUCCAUCCGUUGUGGCAUUAAAUGCUUCUGAACUUUUUG
This 270-nucleotide long non-coding RNA is filed under the name Panax ginseng (ginseng). RNAcentral describes it as "long non-coding RNA (PGIN_LNC014428)". Lineage: Eukaryota; Viridiplantae; Streptophyta; Magnoliopsida; Apiales; Araliaceae. The record is from RNAcentral.